This 2859-nucleotide ribosomal RNA is filed under the name Enterobacter sp. EC-NT1. RNAcentral's name for it is "bacterial LSU rRNA". It matches the Rfam family "Bacterial large subunit ribosomal RNA". The record is from RNAcentral. Lineage: Bacteria; Pseudomonadati; Pseudomonadota; Gammaproteobacteria; Enterobacterales; Enterobacteriaceae.
GGGUUGUGAGGUUAAGCGACUAAGCGUACACGGUGGAUGCCCUGGCAGUCAGAGGCGAUGAAGGACGUGCUAAUCUGCGAUAAGCGUCGGUAAGGUGAUAUGAACCGUUAUAACCGGCGAUUUCCGAAUGGGGAAACCCAGUGUGUUUCGACACACUAUCAUUAACUGAAUCCAUAGGUUAAUGAGGCGAACCGGGGGAACUGAAACAUCUAAGUACCCCGAGGAAAAGAAAUCAACCGAGAUUCCCCCAGUAGCGGCGAGCGAACGGGGAGCAGCCCAGAGCCUGAAUCAGUGUGUGUGUUAGUGGAAGCGUCUGGAAAGGCGCGCGAUACAGGGUGACAGCCCCGUACACAAAAAUGCACAUGCUGUGAGCUCGAUGAGUAGGGCGGGACACGUGGUAUCCUGUCUGAAUAUGGGGGGACCAUCCUCCAAGGCUAAAUACUCCUGACUGACCGAUAGUGAACCAGUACCGUGAGGGAAAGGCGAAAAGAACCCCGGCGAGGGGAGUGAAAAAGAACCUGAAACCGUGUACGUACAAGCAGUGGGAGCACGCUUAGGCGUGUGACUGCGUACCUUUUGUAUAAUGGGUCAGCGACUUAUAUUCUGUAGCAAGGUUAACCGAAUAGGGGAGCCGAAGGGAAACCGAGUCUUAACUGGGCGUUAAGUUGCAGGGUAUAGACCCGAAACCCGGUGAUCUAGCCAUGGGCAGGUUGAAGGUUGGGUAACACUAACUGGAGGACCGAACCGACUAAUGUUGAAAAAUUAGCGGAUGACUUGUGGCUGGGGGUGAAAGGCCAAUCAAACCGGGAGAUAGCUGGUUCUCCCCGAAAGCUAUUUAGGUAGCGCCUCGUGAAUUCAUCUCCGGGGGUAGAGCACUGUUUCGGCAAGGGGGUCAUCCCGACUUACCAACCCGAUGCAAACUGCGAAUACCGGAGAAUGUUAUCACGGGAGACACACGGCGGGUGCUAACGUCCGUCGUGAAGAGGGAAACAACCCAGACCGCCAGCUAAGGUCCCAAAGUCAUGGUUAAGUGGGAAACGAUGUGGGAAGGCCCAGACAGCCAGGAUGUUGGCUUAGAAGCAGCCAUCAUUUAAAGAAAGCGUAAUAGCUCACUGGUCGAGUCGGCCUGCGCGGAAGAUGUAACGGGGCUAAACCAUGCACCGAAGCUGCGGCAGCGACGCUUAUGCGUUGUUGGGUAGGGGAGCGUUCUGUAAGCCUGUGAAGGUGUGCUGUGAGGCAUGCUGGAGGUAUCAGAAGUGCGAAUGCUGACAUAAGUAACGAUAAAGCGGGUGAAAAGCCCGCUCGCCGGAAGACCAAGGGUUCCUGUCCAACGUUAAUCGGGGCAGGGUGAGUCGACCCCUAAGGCGAGGCCGAAAGGCGUAGUCGAUGGGAAACAGGUUAAUAUUCCUGUACUUGGUGUUACUGCGAAGGGGGGACGGAGAAGGCUAUGUUGGCCGGGCGACGGUUGUCCCGGUUUAAGCGUGUAGGCUGGUUUUCCAGGCAAAUCCGGAAAAUCAAGGCUGAGGCGUGAUGACGAGGCACUACGGUGCUGAAGCAACAAAUGCCCUGCUUCCAGGAAAAGCCUCUAAGCAUCAGGUAACAUCAAAUCGUACCCCAAACCGACACAGGUGGUCAGGUAGAGAAUACCAAGGCGCUUGAGAGAACUCGGGUGAAGGAACUAGGCAAAAUGGUGCCGUAACUUCGGGAGAAGGCACGCUGAUAUGUAGGUGAAGCGACUUGCUCGUGGAGCUGAAAUCAGUCGAAGAUACCAGCUGGCUGCAACUGUUUAUUAAAAACACAGCACUGUGCAAACACGAAAGUGGACGUAUACGGUGUGACGCCUGCCCGGUGCCGGAAGGUUAAUUGAUGGGGUCAGCGCAAGCGAAGCUCUUGAUCGAAGCCCCGGUAAACGGCGGCCGUAACUAUAACGGUCCUAAGGUAGCGAAAUUCCUUGUCGGGUAAGUUCCGACCUGCACGAAUGGCGUAAUGAUGGCCAGGCUGUCUCCACCCGAGACUCAGUGAAAUUGAACUCGCUGUGAAGAUGCAGUGUACCCGCGGCAAGACGGAAAGACCCCGUGAACCUUUACUAUAGCUUGACACUGAACAUUGAGCCUUGAUGUGUAGGAUAGGUGGGAGGCUUGACCCGUAAUCCGGGUUGCGGACAGUGUCUGGUGGGUAGUUUGACUGGGGCGGUCUCCUCCUAAAGAGUAACGGAGGAGCACGAAGGUUGGCUAAUCCUGGUCGGACAUCAGGAGGUUAGUGCAAUGGCAUAAGCCAGCUUGACUGCGAGCGUGACGGCGCGAGCAGGUGCGAAAGCAGGUCAUAGUGAUCCGGUGGUUCUGAAUGGAAGGGCCAUCGCUCAACGGAUAAAAGGUACUCCGGGGAUAACAGGCUGAUACCGCCCAAGAGUUCAUAUCGACGGCGGUGUUUGGCACCUCGAUGUCGGCUCAUCACAUCCUGGGGCUGAAGUAGGUCCCAAGGGUAUGGCUGUUCGCCAUUUAAAGUGGUACGCGAGCUGGGUUUAGAACGUCGUGAGACAGUUCGGUCCCUAUCUGCCGUGGGCGCUGGAGAACUGAGGGGGGCUGCUCCUAGUACGAGAGGACCGGAGUGGACGCAUCACUGGUGUUCGGGUUGUCAUGCCAAUGGCACUGCCCGGUAGCUAAAUGCGGAAGAGAUAAGUGCUGAAAGCAUCUAAGCACGAAACUUGCCCCGAGAUGAGUUCUCCCUGACUCCUUGAGAGUCCUGAAGGAACGUUGAAGACGACGACGUUGAUAGGCCGGGUGUGUAAGCGCAGCGAUGCGUUGAGCUAACCGGUACUAAUGAACCGUGAGGCUUAACCUUACAACGCCGAAGGUGUUU